GAUGAACGCUGGCGGCGUGCCUAACACAUGCAAGUCGAGCGAACAGACGUGGAGCUUCCUCCUCUGACAUUAGCGCCGGACGGGAAAGUAAAACGUGGUUAACCUACCUAUAAGACUGAGAUAACGUAGCGAAACCGGAGCUAAUACCGGAUAAUAUAUUGAACUGCAUGGUUCAAUAGUGAAAGACGGUUUUGCUGACACUUAUAGCUUGAUCAACGCCGCAUUAGCUAGUUGGUAAGGUAAGGGCUUACAAAGGCAAGGAUUCGUAGCCGACAUGAGAGGGUGAGCGGGCAGACCGGAGCUGAGGGACGGUCCAGACUCCUACGGGAGGCAGCAGUUAGGAAUAUUGCGGGAUGGACGAAGGCUUGACGGAGCAACGCGGCGUGACUGAUGAAGGACUUCGGAUUGUAAAACGCGGUUAUUCGGGAAGAACAAAUCUGUCAGUAACUAUGAAAAUAAUGACGGUACCUGCAGAAAAAGCGACGGCUAACUACGUG
This 497-nucleotide ribosomal RNA is filed under the name uncultured bacterium. RNAcentral's name for it is "partial 16S ribosomal RNA". It matches the Rfam family "Bacterial small subunit ribosomal RNA", at positions 28 to 507 of the family's 1533-position model. The record is from RNAcentral.